GAUUUGAGGGAACCAGAUGAAUAUGCACCGCAAACUCCGUGCCAGCGGCCGGGGAAUACGGAGGGUGCAAGCGUUGUCCGGAUUUAUUGGGUUUAAAGGGUGCGGUAGCGGGCCCGUUAAGUCAGUGGUGAAAGCCCAUCGCUCAACGAUGGAACUGCCAUUGAUACUGCCGGGCUUGAGUACGGAUGAGGUAGGCGGGAAUUGAUGGUGUAGCGGUGAAAUGCAUAGAUACUAUCAAGAACACCCGAUUGCGUAGGCAGCUUACUAGGC
Molecule: ribosomal RNA, 270 nt
Filed under: uncultured Adhaeribacter sp.
Lineage: Bacteria; Pseudomonadati; Bacteroidota; Cytophagia; Cytophagales; Hymenobacteraceae
Description: partial 16S ribosomal RNA
Rfam family: Bacterial small subunit ribosomal RNA
Source: RNAcentral